Molecule: long non-coding RNA, 757 nt
Filed under: Homo sapiens (human)
Lineage: Eukaryota; Metazoa; Chordata; Mammalia; Primates; Hominidae
Description: HSALNT0150632
Source: RNAcentral
AGAGAAAUAAGAGAGCCUUGGAAUUUAAGAUGUCCUAGACUGUGGAAGUAUUAUUAUUCCACUGCUCUAGAUUGAAUGUUUGUGUUCCCCUAAAUUCACAAGUAAGGCCUAAUCCCUAGUGGGAUAGUAUUAGGAGAUGAGGCCUUUGGGAAGUGAUUACAUGAAGAGUGGAGCCCUCAUGAAUGGGAUUAGUGCCCUUACAAAAGAGACACCAGAGAGAGCCCUUGCCCCUUCCACCAUGUGAGGACACAGCAAAAACGUGGCCAUCUAUGAACCAGGAAGAGGGCCCUCACCAGACACUGAGUCUGCCACCACCUUGAUGUUGGACUUCUCAGCCUCUAAAACUAGAACAAUUAUUGAGAAUGAGGAAGGAAGACUUCUUUCACCACCACCAAGUGUUGCCGAAUCCUCACCCUUUGCCCCAUUAAGCAAGUGGCAGGCACCUCACCUUUUACCAUGGGAAACAUCUUGGUCCUGCUGGGACCUCCCAGUCCAAGGAAGCACCAGGGAUGGCUUACCUCACUGGCUACAUGGAAGAGAGGAAAAAAGGAAGAGCAAAACUCAUUUCAAGGUCCCAAGAAGAAGAGAGGAAGAGAAUAUUUACUCCAGAGAAGCAAACUAUAGCUCCGUGAAGCCUGUGCUUGGGCAGCUUCUACAUGCAGCAGUGCUGAAUACCAACACCUACAUUUCCCCAGAGAAACAGCGUACAGCAAUGUGCUGUCCUCAUCCACUUCUUCUGAAGUCAAGUCCCCAGCAG